AUUGAACGCUGGCGGCAGGCCUAACACAUGCAAGUCGAGCGGAUGAAGGGAGCUUGCUCCUGGAUUCAGCGGCGGACGGGUGAGUAAUGCCUAGGAAUCUGCCUGGCAGUGGGGGAUAACGUCCGGAAACGGGCGCUAAUACCGCAUACGUCCUGAGGGAGAAAGUGGGGGAUCUUCGGACCUCACGCUAUCAGAUGAGCCUAGGUCGGAUUAGCUAGUUGGUGGGGUAAAGGCCUACCAAGGCGACGAUCCGUAACUGGUCUGAGAGGAUGAUCAGUCACACUGGAACUGAGACACGGUCCAGACUCCUACGGGAGGCAGCAGUGGGGAAUAUUGGACAAUGGGCGAAAGCCUGAUCCAGCCAUGCCGCGUGUGUGAAGAAGGUCUUCGGAUUGUAAAGCACUUUAAGUUGAGAGGAAGGGCAGUAAGUUAAUACCUUGCUGUUUUGACGUUACCAACAGAAUAAGCACCGGCUAACUUCGUG
Molecule: ribosomal RNA, 484 nt
Filed under: uncultured bacterium
Lineage: Bacteria
Description: partial 16S ribosomal RNA
Rfam family: Bacterial small subunit ribosomal RNA
Source: RNAcentral